This 229-nucleotide ribosomal RNA is filed under the name uncultured bacterium. RNAcentral's name for it is "partial 16S ribosomal RNA". It matches the Rfam family "Bacterial small subunit ribosomal RNA", at positions 568 to 796 of the family's 1533-position model. The record is from RNAcentral.
UGCGUAGGCGGAAUAUUAAGUCAGUGGUGAAAUCCUACGGCUCAACCGUAGAACUGCCAUUGAUACUGAUAUUCUUGAAUGUAGUUGAGGUAGGCGGAAUGUGUAAUGUAGCGGUGAAAUGCUUAGAUAUUACACAGAACACCGAUUGCGAAGGCAGCUUACUAAACUAUGAUUGACGCUGAGGCACGAAAGCGUGGGGAGCGAACAGGAUUAGAUACCCUGGUAGUCC